CAUAGCUCAANNUANAAAUUCUUAUUAUNAAAUUAAAAAAUCUAAAUUUAUUUUUCCUAUUGAGUUAAUCUAUUUAUAGAUGUAUUAAUGUUAAAAUGAGUAACGAGAAAUAUCUCUAUAUGCACACAUAAAUCAGAACGAAAUAAUCACUGAUAGUUAACAAAUUUUUCAUAAAUAUUCAAGAAAUAUAUAUUAAUAUUGUUAAACCAACACAGGGGCAUAAAAGAAAGAUUAAAAAUUAAAAAAGGAACUCGGCAACCAAAGAUUUCGCCUGUUUACCAAAAACAUCGCCUCUUGCAAUUAAAGUAUAAAAGGUCCUGCCUGCCCAGUGAUAUUAAUUAAACGGCCGCGGUAUU
RNAcentral lists this ribosomal RNA (356 nucleotides) under Dicamptodon ensatus. RNAcentral describes it as "partial 16S ribosomal RNA". Lineage: Eukaryota; Metazoa; Chordata; Amphibia; Caudata; Dicamptodontidae. The record is from RNAcentral.